CAUCUCUAUGCGGCCUAGCAGGGAAAGAGAAUUCUGACUGUUAGUAAGGAGGCUAGUGGAGAUAAUGUAUUAAACGUACAAUUUUGACUAGGUUCAAUUGUGAAUAAGCAAUAAGUCACAAUUCAGAAGGUUAUGUCCUGAUUUGUGCCUUGACUCCUAUCUGUCCCGAGUCAUGUUUGAGAUUGACUGCUCUGGGGUUCAGGUUCUGGAGCAGAAAGCCUCGUGUCCUCUGAUUGGGGAGGAUGCCAUGCUGAUGAUUAAGGUAAACCCAACCCAGUCUCCUUCCAUACCCUCCAGACAAAUCUGAGCCUUGGCCAGCUGAUGUCCCCAACGCCAUCGCCAUGGCAACUGUAACGAAAUGGAACCACAGAAAACGGUCUGAAUUAACUGAGGUCUUGAAGUUUCGUUUUCCAGGGGAAAGGGACUUUGGCUGCUCCAAAUCUCAAACAUGAGUCAGCGGAUCAGUCAGUGUAGAUCAGAGUGAAGCCUUAUUCCCAGGUUCUACCACAUGGACACUCUUAAACUGUUUGACUUCUAUCAAAGGUCUCAUCUCAUUAGGGUUUGUACGUGGAACGAAGGAGACAAAUAAGAAGUGACGACAGCGUUAAAAUAUGUGUAUUGGUCGGGUGGCUGUGUUUUUUGGGAAUAACAGAUAAAAACUAUUUUUAUUAUUUUUUACUUUGUACAAGAACCACGAUGUAAUUACCUCAAUCAAAACGUAUUUUACUGUCUAAAGCUCUAUUGUUGUAAAAAAUACAAGUAUUUUAUGUAGUGUAAAAUCUUAGUUUUUUAAAAAAGGUAAUGGUGGUCUGGACUUUCUUGGUAUAAAUUGUGUAUUUCUGCUCCAUUGGUUUUAAUUAGAGACUGUUGUACUUUCUUUGGGCAUUUUUUUGGUUUGUGCUCGCUAACACAGGAGGAGAAGACAGAAGCUCCUGGACAUGUUGGCCUGUCUAAAACCAUGACACCUUCCUCUCACUUCUCCAUUGGAUCUCCAGCUUUAGGAUUCCGUCUGGCUCUGCAGCAAGGCUCCCCGAGGAGCACCGUUCAUUUUUAAUGUACUCGUUCAUUAAUGUAGGAAGCUGUAGGUUGAGGGGUUUCAUGUCAUAAUAUAGCUGGCUUUUUUAAAUAAAUACACAUGAAAUGUGUCAC
Molecule: long non-coding RNA, 1149 nt
Organism: Gasterosteus aculeatus aculeatus (three-spined stickleback)
Lineage: Eukaryota; Metazoa; Chordata; Actinopteri; Perciformes; Gasterosteidae
Source: Ensembl